This 407-nucleotide ribosomal RNA is filed under the name uncultured bacterium. RNAcentral describes it as "bacterial SSU rRNA". It matches the Rfam family "Bacterial small subunit ribosomal RNA", at positions 29 to 431 of the family's 1533-position model. The record is from RNAcentral.
AUUGAACGCUGGCGGCAGGCCUAACACAUGCAAGUCGAACGGCAGCACAGAAGAGCUUGCUCUUUGGGUGGCGAGUGGCGGACGGGUGAGUAACACGUAGGAAUCUACCCAGUAGUGGGGGAUAACCUGGGGAAACCCAGGCUAAUACCGCAUACGCCCUGAGGGGGAAAGCGGGGGAUCUUCGGACCUCGCGCUAUUGGAUGAGCCUGCGUCGGAUUAGCUAGUUGGUGGGGUAAGGGCCCACCAAGGCGACGAUCCGUAGCUGGUCUGAGAGGAUGACCAGUCACACCGGAACUGAGACACGGUCCGGACUCCUACGGGAGGCAGCAGGUGGGGAAUAUUGGACAAUGGGCGCAAGCCUGAUCCAGCCAUGCCGCGUGGGUGAAGAAGGCCUUCGGUUGUAAGGU